Long non-coding RNA from Canis lupus familiaris (dog), 1350 nucleotides. RefSeq lists it as uncharacterized. NCBI's taxonomy places the organism in Eukaryota, Metazoa, Chordata, Mammalia, Carnivora, Canidae. The record is from RefSeq and is a predicted model, not a curated record. The transcript is spliced from 4 exons.
CACAGCAAGGACCGGAGAGCGGGGACGUCGACAAGUAUUUGACUCAAGGUUACAGGGAACUGAUCACUUCUUUCUCCCCUUUGUAUUUCCCAUAUACCAAUGGCUCCUUCUUCACAGGAAAAUAAGAGGAAAAGAGCAGGGACCUACAGAUCUGAAUCUGGCAUCAGAUGGAAGGGCAAGAGAAACUCUAGAUUAGUCAAAAGGGAGGCCGGGGGCCACCCCUCCAAUCGGCCUUGCCAAUCGGGGCUGACUGGGGAGGAAUAGAAUGGCAGGCUUAGCCAGGGAGAGGGCCUGACCCAGCACCCCACAUCCUCUGUGGCCUCAGUGUGACCUGUAAGCAGUCCAGGAGCUUCCUUUGUCCCAGAGGGAAUAGCUGCGGCUGGCUGGCUGGGGAGUUCACCGUUUGGGGUAACACAGUGAUCCUGAGGAAGGGAGCCCGAGCCCGGCUAUCAAGCUGGGUGUCAAUGGGAGUCACAGCCAUAAGUAAUGGGAGCAUCAGAAAUGUGGAGGUGGGGUGCUCAGGAACAGCACAGCUGCUUAGAGCCCCCUGCGGGGCUGCUGAGAGCACAGUAGCAGGUGGGUGGGGGCUGAGGCGGUGAGGCUGGCCGCCCUGGCCACCGGCAGGCCCAACGAGGCCCGGCACCGCUCGCAGAGGCCUAGCUGGACCGGAGCCUCCUCCCAGUCCCAGGCCGCUGCAUGCACCCACACCUUGGGGACACUCCGCUCCUUCUGCACCCUCUGGCCUUCCUGGGAAGGAGGAGAUGGAAGAGGUACCACCUGAAAGGAAAGAAUCAGCCCUGACGGCACCCAGCAGAUGUUAAGGAACAGACAACCUAAAGGCUACAGAGGGAACCAAUCACCAGAACUCAGUCCUGUAACGGAAGUGAGGCCGGAAGAAAGAGAACAGGGCAGGAGAGGCACAGAACGUAACAAGAUUCACGCUGCCCAGAGCUGGGAGGAAAAGCAAUACUGCCAAGACCAGCCUGCCUCAUCAGACCUCUUUGAUGUGUGUUUUGGGAUCCCUGUAUUGAAUGAAACUUUGGAAGUUUUCAUGGAUGCUGGAAGCAAGAAGGGAUGGAAUAAAAAGCUCGAUUCAGUAAAUUUAAUUCUGUGGUCAGGGCUUCAUCUCCCUCCUCACUGGGCUGCAACCACCUUCCUAGUCUCAUCAGUGAGCAGUGAAGAGAGCCACAUCCUGGAAUGGGUCCAUGCUCUAUCAAGAAGGAUCUAGGUGGCCUGAAGAAGUGCUGACUUGAAGCGGGGCCACAGCUGCUCUCAGCUGGCUUGACUGAUGCAGAAGCCUAACUGGAGCCGGACCACGCACAAUCCAGGUGCACUACGGGAACAGCUGUC